RNAcentral lists this ribosomal RNA (305 nucleotides) under uncultured Smithella sp. RNAcentral's name for it is "bacterial SSU rRNA". It matches the Rfam family "Bacterial small subunit ribosomal RNA", at positions 1075 to 1382 of the family's 1533-position model. The record is from RNAcentral. Lineage: Bacteria; Pseudomonadati; Thermodesulfobacteriota; Syntrophia; Syntrophales; Smithellaceae.
UUGGGUUAAGUCCCGCAACGAGCGCAACCCUUAUCUUUAAUUGCCAGCAUUCAGUUGGGCACUUUAAAGAGACUGCCGGUGUUAAACCGGAGGAAGGUGGGAUGACGUCAAGUCCUCAUGGCCUUUAUGCUUAGGGCUACACACGUGCUACAAUGGGUGGUACAAAGAGAAGCCAACUCGCGAGAGCGCGCCAAUCUCAAAAAGCCAUCCUCAGUUCGGAUUGGAGUCUGCAACUCGACUCCAUGAAGUUGGAAUCGCUAGUAAUCGCGGAUCAGCAUGCCGCGGUGAAUACGUUCCCGGGCCUU